This 23-nucleotide microRNA is filed under the name Mus musculus (house mouse). RNAcentral describes it as "mmu-miR-106a-5p". Its record names the gene mmu-miR-106a-5p. Lineage: Eukaryota; Metazoa; Chordata; Mammalia; Rodentia; Muridae. The record is from miRBase by way of RNAcentral.
CAAAGUGCUAACAGUGCAGGUAG